Long non-coding RNA from Acipenser ruthenus (sterlet), 3862 nucleotides. RefSeq lists it as uncharacterized. The record is from RefSeq and is a predicted model, not a curated record. The transcript has 3 exons. Lineage: Eukaryota; Metazoa; Chordata; Actinopteri; Acipenseriformes; Acipenseridae.
AUUCUCGUUUAAUAACAACACGCAUGCAGUUGGGAGAAUUGAAAAGAUAAGAGUUAACACAGAAGCAGCAGGAAUGUGAGUGGGGAGAGCGAGUUCAAACGCUGCGUGACUUGCAAAUUGCGGGCGUGUUAUUUAAUAACUGGAAAGUCUGUCAGUGUUUUUUAUUUAUUUUUUUAACAUGUUGCGGAGGAUUUCAGCAAGGGAAUGGUAAUCUGUAACGACAAACGGGAAUCGUCAGUCAAGUGUGAUCAAGAGUCAUGCACUGAUCAAGGGGCAAUGAUCACAAACCACAGCUGGAAAGCAAAAAAGAGCAACCGGCAGUCAAGACCUCACCACUGCAGCAGACAGCAAAACAGAAUUGAAGGCGGAAGUUGAGUGUUCGGGUUUCCAGUCUAGAAGAAGCCCACUGCCUAAUAUCUAAACCGAUUCUUUCAUUGUAAAACAAACAAAUAAUAAUAAUAACAAUAAACAUACCGAGGGCAGUGGAAAACAAACGCAGUUGCAAAUUGCUUGGAUGGGAGAAAUCGAAUUCGUUUGUUGGAAGCUUGUCUGACACAGACUUUCACGGUUGUCUCUUUCGUAUCGAAUCAUCGGAUUUGCUUUAUUUCUUCUAUCGUAUCGCACGGGUUUUAUCUGAGACGCUUCUUUCUCGACUACAGACUGUGAACAGACUGGCCUGUGUAUUCGAUCUGCUUCCUACAACAAGUACUCCAAUCUCCUUAAUUCUACCACAGGUCUAAGACUAAGAGUAUUGCUCCGGUGUGUUUAUAAUUCGAAUUUACAGUUUAAUGACAAUUAAAUUACACACAGAGGGAAAACCAAGAACCGACGUAUAUCAGUGAACCUUAUGUUAUAUCCGUACACAUCUUUAUUUUGAUUGUGUUUUCGGCGUCUCUGAUUAAUACGCGUGGAAAUCAACUCUGCAUAAAACGUUGCAAACAUCGAAUUGUACAUGUUGGCUUAGUUUACGUCUUUGAAAGAUUCUUGAUAAGGAGGGUCGAAUAAGCCAAGGAAGCCCGUUUAAUUUACGCGGGUUGUGAAUUUUAUUACAUUAUUUUAAUUGAUUAUUUUGGCGAUAUCUUUACAGACCAGAGUUGUUCUUUUUUUUAACAGUUUAAGAAGCUAUUUUAAUUUUAAAAUUUAACAACGUUUAAACAAAAAGGUGGAGUUGGGUGUAUUGUAUGCUUUGUGACAAAUAACAAUUACCGGGCGAUAGUCUUAAGUAUUUGUAAUGUGUUUUUUUCCCCACUGACAGCUGUAAAAGGCCGUUGUUUUCUUGCAUUACGUUGACAUGAUUUUGGUUUCUUUGCCUAUUUAAUAGUCCUUGUGCUUUCACUGUAUUUUACACUAGUACCUUCUUGUCGCCAUGUCUUGAAGAGAAUAGGCUUUUAACAUUGCUACGUGGUAGUGUAAACAAUCCCCAGCAUUUUACAAUCAAAGGAAAUAAGCUUAUCGGAUCAGAAAUAAUUAAUAAUUAUGGCAGAUCGCGGUCGCAUACGAUAUGGCAACAACGAAAGUCCAACUGCUAGCCCUGGGACUGGACGGAAGAAAGUGCAUCAGUCGCCGAGUUCCAGAACCAAGCAUCAUAUCAGCGCCCCAGGACACAAUUUUAGGAAAGUGACUUUAACCAAACCAACGUACUGUCACCACUGCACCGAUUUCAUCUGGGGACUGGCUGGGUUUCUGUGUGAAGUGUGUAACUUCAUGUCCCAUGAGAAGUGCCUGAAGCAUGUGAAGACUGUCUGCUCUUGGAUGGCUUCGUCUUUAGUGCGGAUAUCCUUAAGCCUGGUGUUGAUGACUGAAGUAUAAUGCUGGCUCCAGGGAUCAGCCUAUUUUGCCUUUCUGGUGCAUCAGCACACAACGGCUGCAAUGCUGGCUCCAGGGGUCAACCACAGUGCGGCCUCCCUAGCACAUCGGCAUGACAACCGUCUGGACUGAGCUGAGUAGAGUACUUCUCUGGGGUCUUCAAGUGGGCACAAGAAUGUAAUUCAGCUCCAAUCAGAGCUAGGCAGCCUCGGGGGAGCACAAAGUUGACAUGUUGCUGGAUCCCUGGGAAGGAGUGACUCAAGCUGCUGGUUCACGCGGGGCAAAAGGCCACUGCAGGAUGUAACAGUUAAUUAAACUUUUUUUUAACAAUUAAUUUAAAAAAAACAAAAAACUAACUAUUACAGCGUAAAUGUGAUAUUGCAUAAAUUGUAUAAAACACACUAAUUAGCGAAAAUUAUAUAGUCAUAAGCAGCAAGUACUUAUCUGAUACCCGGCUCCCCGGUCAGUCUUGAAAGAAAAAACAGGUCGCUGAGAUCUGUGCGCUCAGUUUGAGUUUGAAAUCCCAGUUACACAGACAAAAUUAUCUGUUGUAAGUGAAGACAGUAAUGAGGGUUAUGUUUUAGAUGUAGAACGUUAAAGUGGAAUUGUAACGGGGUAUAUGUGUGUGGGUCAUCACUGAAUAAUAAUGAGGUAGACGCAGAGCAUUGGGUGUUGACACGGCACACAGCUUUUAUUUAACACAAAGGCUGUCACUAGGGUACCAGAAAUGGUAGCCCUAGUGUCAGAUUUAAUAAAGAAAACAAAAUAAAGCUAAAAAUAAAGGUUUGCCACACAAAGCGAGUGCUAGUCUCACUAAAAGAGACGUCCCGCUCCCGGAACCACCUACGCUAUGUAAACCCUCUAUCUCCAUACUGUUUGGGAUUAACAUCCUCUACAUUAACCUACUACUGUUGCUUCCAAGUCCCGGCCUCCCAGCGACUUCGGGUCGUUGCGAUGGUCCUGGCUCAGCAGAGCCUUCACAGGCAACGUCUUGCAGUUGAAGGUUUCUGUAGUAGUUAUCCUGAAUGUGAACAAAGCUCCUCUCUGUGUAGCAUGGUGGUGCAGUCGCCUCGAGCUGUGGCACAGAUGCCUUUUGAGCUGCGCGCACCCUCCCCGUGCAUGGUCCCCCAGCUAAUCUGGACCUCCCGAUCAGCUCAGGGCCGGGCGAGCCUAACUGCGCAAUUAGUUGCCUAGCAACACGUCUCCUGUUCCGUAUCCCAGCUGCACUCAUUUGCGCAAGAACCAGCGACAUGUCACAUACCCUCCCCCUCAGAAUGGCACCACCGGUACAUUCAACUUUCUUCAGCUGGUUCCUCUUCAGUUUGGGUGGUCAACGGGUGAUGGAAGGUCCAGACACGACGGUGGGUUGUCUGGAAGCACAGGCCGAGGGAGCUGACCCAUGGGUGCAGGACUGGGAAUGCAGGCUUCUCCCCUUCCUCGCUCUCGGGGACGGCAGCUCCUCCUCAGGUUGUCGGGACAGUAGCCCCUCCUUCUUUGGCCCUUGGGACAGCCGCUACUCCUUCUUGGACCAUAAGUCCUCCUCUGGCUCUUGACAGGGAGACAGCCACUCUGGCCUUUGAGCACAGUAACUCCUCCCCCUCCAGCGUUCGGGACUCCAGCUCCUCCCCCUCUGGCUUUUUACCCGGAGUUUAAGAAGUACUCAGGCAAAAUGUCAAUGAGUUGUAAGCUUGUUUGAAUAAUGGUUAAAUUAAUGAAAUGCAAAAGCUAAGAUGUACUAAGUGAUGAUGAAAUUGCUGCUGUUCCUGAACCUGUCCAGAAGAAAUGUGAAAUAAAAAUUAGAAGAGGGUAUGUUCAUGAGGAAGUGAAUUUGUAAUUCUAAAAGCUUUCUUUUUUUUUACAUUAUGUUAAUGUAUAAUUGUAUUACUUUUCUUUAACAAUAUGAAAUUCUACGCUGAAAUCGUAAGCCCUUUUCUAAACACUUGCUUGGAGCAGGUUUGGAUAACCCUUUUUGUAUACAGUAAGGCUGCAACAUCUAGAGGAAAAGGAAGUGGACGAUGACAACAGUGAAUACGUCACUGAUUUCAUUUUUCCGUUA